GAAAUCCCGUGUGAAUCUGGCAGGACCAUCUGCUAAGGCUAAAUACUACCUAGCGACCGAUAGUGAACCAGUACCGUGAGGGAAAGGUGAAAAGCACCCCGGGAGGGGAGUGAAAUAGUACCUGAAACCGUGUGCUUACAAAUAGUCGGAGCCCGUUAAAAGGGUGACGGCGUGCCUUUUGUAGAAUGAACCGGCGAGUUACGGUAGCGUGCGAGGUUAAGUUGAAGAGACGGAGCCGCAGCGAAAGCGAGUCUGAAUAGGGCGAUAGUACGCUGCCGUAGACCCGAAACCGUGUGAUCUAGCCAUGUCCAGGGUGAAGGUAGGGUAACACCUACUGGAGGCCCGAACCCACGCACGUUGAAAAGUGCGGGGAUGAGGUGUGGCUAGCGGUGAAAUUCCAAUCGAACUCGGAGAUAGCUGGUUCUCCCCGAAAUAGCUUUAGGGCUAGCCUCGGAAUUUAGAGUCUUGGAGGUAGAGCACUGAUUGGACUAGGGGCCCUCAUCGGGUUACCGAAUUCAGUCAAACUCCGAAUGCCAAUGACUUAUGUCCGGGAGUCAGACGGUGAGUGCUAAGAUCCAUCGUCAAAAGGGAAACAGCCCAGACCAUCAGCUAAGGUCCCAAAGUAUACGUUAAGUGGGAAACGAUGUGGAGUUGCCCAGACAACCAGGAUGUUGGCUUAGAAGCAGCCACCAUUUAAAGAGUGCGUAAUAGCUCACUGGUCGAGUGACUCUGCGCGGAAAAUGUAACGGGGCUAAACGUAUCACCGAAGCUAUGGCAGUCCUUACGGACUGGGUAGGGGAGCGUUCCAAGCAGCAGUGAAGCCGUACUGGAAAGAGCGGUGGAGCGCUUGGAAGUGAGAAUGCCGGUGUAAGUAGCGAAAAGACAAGUGAGAAUCUUGUCCACCGAAAGCCUAAGGUUUCCUGGGGAAGGCUCGUCCUCCCAGGGUUAGUCGGGACCUAAGCUGAGGCCGAAAGGCGUAGGCGAUGGACAACAGGUUGAUAUUCCUGUACCACCUCUGUUCCGCUUGAGCAAUGGCGUGACGCAGGAGGAUAGGGUGAGCGGCCUAUUGGAUGGCCGUCCAAGCAGUAAGUGUGGUGUGUAGGCAAAUCCGCACACCGUGAAGCAUGAGCUGUGAUGGCGAGGGAAA
Molecule: ribosomal RNA, 1147 nt
Filed under: Brevibacillus brevis
Lineage: Bacteria; Bacillati; Bacillota; Bacilli; Caryophanales; Paenibacillaceae
Description: bacterial LSU rRNA
Rfam family: Bacterial large subunit ribosomal RNA
Source: RNAcentral